AGUGAACGCUGGCGGUAGGCCUAACACAUGCAAGUCGAACGGCAGCACAGUAAGAGCUUGCUCUUACGGGUGGCGAGUGGCGGACGGGUGAGGAAUACAUCGGAAUCUACUUUUUCGUGGGGGAUAACGUAGGGAAACUUACGCUACUACCGCAUACGACCUACGGGUGAAAGCAGGGGAUCUUCGCACCUUGCGCGAUUGAUUGAGCCGAUGUCGGAUUAGCUAGUUGGCGGGGUAAAGGCCCACCAAGGCGACGAUCCGUAGCUGAUCUGAGAGGAUGAUCGGCCACACUGGAACUGAGACACGGUCCAGACUCCUACGGGAGGCAGCAGUGGGGAAUAUUGGGCAAUGGGCGCAAGCCUGAUCGAGCCAUGCCGCGUGAGUGAAGAAGGCCUUCGGGUUGUAAAGCCCUUUUGUUGGGAAAGAAAAGCAGCAGGUUAAUACCCCGCUGUUCUGACGGUACCCAAAGAAAAAGCACCGGCUAACUUCGUG
This 492-nucleotide ribosomal RNA is filed under the name uncultured bacterium. RNAcentral's name for it is "partial 16S ribosomal RNA". It matches the Rfam family "Bacterial small subunit ribosomal RNA", at positions 29 to 507 of the family's 1533-position model. The record is from RNAcentral.